This 1377-nucleotide long non-coding RNA is filed under the name Sorghum bicolor (sorghum). RNAcentral describes it as "long non-coding RNA (SBIC_LNC007029)". The record is from RNAcentral. Lineage: Eukaryota; Viridiplantae; Streptophyta; Magnoliopsida; Poales; Poaceae.
CUAGCUACACAAAAAGAGACAAAAAAACCUACUGACGACUAGCCAAAUAAGCAAUAGCAAAUGAUGCAUUUUCAAUCUAGCUUCAAGUACUCAAAUAUCUAUUUAUCAUCUAUUACGAGGAGAACUAGAAAAAAGAAAUUGUUUUAAAGUCAAAUAUGAGAUAACUCCGUGUAACAUAACUCUUAUCACUCUGACUUCUAUCGCAAAUUACUCUCUAGUUCUAUUUUUAGUUUCGUAAAUAAUCUACAUUUACUACUCUAUGCAUGUAUCCAAACAUAUAGUGUGAUAGGUGUUAAAAAACACUAGAAACUAAACAAGCCCUAAUAGAAAAUAGGUACUGCUAAAAGGUUAUAGGAACAGAAGGUAGUACAGCUAGGGAGUUUUGGUAAAGAGAAAUAUUACAAAAAUAAAUAGUUUUAUUUUGCUUGAAUUUAGGACAAUAUCAAAAGGUGUCACAGAUGUGUCAUUAAGCCUACGCGAGAUUAAUAAGUACUAAAAAGGUAGCAAUAAAAUGAAAAAAAUCAGACCAAACAAAAAAGAAGAAAAAUGCUUUUUUAGUUCCCAGAAAAUUUUGUAAAAUUUUUCACAUUCCCCGUCAAAUUGAAUCUUUAGACGCAUGCAUGGAGUAUUAAAUAUAGACGAAAAUAAAAAAUAAUUGCACAGUUUGGUCGGAAUUGACGAGACGAAUCUUUUGAUCCUAGUUAGUCUAUGAUUGGACAAUAUUGGUCAAAUACAAACGAAAGUGAUACACUGUCGUUUUCUCAAAAAUUUUCGGAACUUAACAAGGCCCAAAUUUUGCGGUACAUGCAUGGAGCAUUAAAUAUAGAUAAAAAAGAUAACUAAUUUCACAAUUUACCUGUAAUUUACGAGACAAAUCUUUUAAGCCUAGUUAGUCCAUCAUUAGACAAUAUUUGUCAAAUAAAAACAAAAAUACUACAAUAGCAAAACCCAAAAAAUUUCGCGAACUAAACAAGGCCUUAGACUUCAGACUGCUAUACAUGCUCGUACUCAACCAAGUCCUGCCAUAUCCAUAUUUUGCAACCAUUCUCCCCAAAAAAUGAACAUUAUCGAGAGUAUUGAGCUGGCAAAACUUUGAAUGAGUUUUUAGAAGAGCUAGAUAAUACGUACAGAAUAUAUAAAAAUGGUAAAUCAACUAGUCCAAAUAAAUAUUUCUAUUAUAGUUUGAGCCGCUGAGAUUUUGUUAAAAAAGUAUGUACUUUUAAAUGUAAAACAACAUGAAGAAAGACAUUCUUAAUAAGUGGUUCGUAGAACAUACAUGAAGAAAGUGGCAAAUAUUUACUAGUGACCGGUUUUAUUUAUCUAAAAACAAUUAAAGUGACAAAAAUAUUAUGAAUGGUCAUGAAACUUGCUGAGCCA